RNAcentral lists this ribosomal RNA (1100 nucleotides) under Microbacterium sp. IK1_76_2. RNAcentral's name for it is "bacterial SSU rRNA". It matches the Rfam family "Bacterial small subunit ribosomal RNA", at positions 28 to 1139 of the family's 1533-position model. Lineage: Bacteria; Bacillati; Actinomycetota; Actinomycetes; Micrococcales; Microbacteriaceae. RNAcentral also lists the same sequence under 5 other names. The record is from RNAcentral.
GAUGAACGCUGGCGGCGUGCUUAACACAUGCAAGUCGAACGGUGAAGCCAAGCUUGCUUGGUGGAUCAGUGGCGAACGGGUGAGUAACACGUGAGCAACCUGCCCUGGACUCUGGGAUAAGCGCUGGAAACGGCGUCUAAUACUGGAUAUGAGACGUGAUCGCAUGGUCAACGUUUGGAAAGAUUUUUCGGUCUGGGAUGGGCUCGCGGCCUAUCAGCUUGUUGGUGAGGUAAUGGCUCACCAAGGCGUCGACGGGUAGCCGGCCUGAGAGGGUGACCGGCCACACUGGGACUGAGACACGGCCCAGACUCCUACGGGAGGCAGCAGUGGGGAAUAUUGCACAAUGGGCGGAAGCCUGAUGCAGCAACGCCGCGUGAGGGAUGACGGCCUUCGGGUUGUAAACCUCUUUUAGCAGGGAAGAAGCGAAAGUGACGGUACCUGCAGAAAAAGCGCCGGCUAACUACGUGCCAGCAGCCGCGGUAAUACGUAGGGCGCAAGCGUUAUCCGGAAUUAUUGGGCGUAAAGAGCUCGUAGGCGGUUUGUCGCGUCUGCUGUGAAAUCCCGAGGCUCAACCUCGGGCCUGCAGUGGGUACGGGCAGACUAGAGUGCGGUAGGGGAGAUUGGAAUUCCUGGUGUAGCGGUGGAAUGCGCAGAUAUCAGGAGGAACACCGAUGGCGAAGGCAGAUCUCUGGGCCGUAACUGACGCUGAGGAGCGAAAGGGUGGGGAGCAAACAGGCUUAGAUACCCUGGUAGUCCACCCCGUAAACGUUGGGAACUAGUUGUGGGGACCAUUCCACGGUUUCCGUGACGCAGCUAACGCAUUAAGUUCCCCGCCUGGGGAGUACGGCCGCAAGGCUAAAACUCAAAGGAAUUGACGGGGACCCGCACAAGCGGCGGAGCAUGCGGAUUAAUUCGAUGCAACGCGAAGAACCUUACCAAGGCUUGACAUACACCAGAACGGGCCAGAAAUGGUCAACUCUUUGGACACUGGUGAACAGGUGGUGCAUGGUUGUCGUCAGCUCGUGUCGUGAGAUGUUGGGUUAAGUCCCGCAACGAGCGCAACCCUCGUUCUAUGUUGCCAGCACGUAAUGGUGGGAACU